CAAACUCCGAAUGCCAAUUAAUUUAACUUGGGAGUCAGAACAUGGGUGAUAAGGUCCGUGUUCGAAAGGGAAACAGCCCAGACCACCAGCUAAGGUCCCAAAAUAUAUGUUAAGUGGAAAAGGAUGUGGCGUUGCCCAGACAACUAGGAUGUUGGCUUAGAAGCAGCCAUCAUUUAAAGAGUGCGUAAUAGCUCACUAGUCGAGUGACACUGCGCCGAAAAUGUACCGGGGCUAAACAUAUUACCGAAGCUGUGGAUUGUCCUUUGGACAAUGGUAGGAGAGCGUUCUAAGGGCGUUGAAGCAUGAUCGUAAGGACAUGUGGAGCGCUUAGAAGUGAGAAUGCCGGUGUGAGUAGCGAAAGACGGGUGAGAAUCCCGUCCACCGAUUGACUAAGGUUUCCAGAGGAAGGCUCGUCCGCUCUGGGUUAGUCGGGUCCUAAGCUGAGGCCGACAGGCGUAGGCGAUGGAUAACAGGUUGAUAUUCCUGUACCACCUAUAAUCGUUUUAAUCGAUGGGGGGACGCAGUAGGAUAGGCGAAGCGUGCGAUUGGAUUGCACGUCUAAGCAGUAAGGCUGAGUAUUAGGCAAAUCCGGUACUCAUUAAGGCUGAGCUGUGAUGGGGAGAAGACAUUGUGUCUUCGAGUCGUUGAUUUCACACUGCCGAGAAAAGCCUCUAGAUAGAAAAUAGGUGCCCGUACCGCAAACCGACACAGGUAGUCAAGAUGAGAAUUCUAAGGUGAGCGAGCGAACUCUCGUUAAGGAACUCGGCAAAAUGACCCCGUAACUUCGGGAGAAGGGGUGCUCUUUAGGGUUAACGCCCAGAAGAGCCGCAGUGAAUAGGCCCAAGCGACUGUUUAUCAAAAACACAGGUCUCUGCUAAACCGUAAGGUGAUGUAUAGGGGCUGACGCCUGCCCGGUGCUGGAAGGUUAAGAGGAGUGGUUAGCUUCUGCGAAGCUACGAAUCGAAGCCCCAGUAAACGGCGGCCGUAACUAUAACGGUCCUAAGGUAGCGAAAUUCCUUGUCGGGUAAGUUCCGACCCGCACGAAAGGCGUAACGAUUUGGGCACUGUCUCAACGAGAGACUCGGUGAAAUCAUAGUACCUGUGAAGAUGCAGGUUACCCGCGACAGGACGGAAAGACCCCGUGGAGCUUUACUGUAGCCUGAUAUUGAAAUUCGGCACAGCUUGUACAGGAUAGGUAGGAGCCUUUGAAACGUGAGCGCUAGCUUACGUGGAGGCGCUGGUGGGAUACUACCCUAGCUGUGUUGGCUUUCUAACCCGCACCACUUAUCGUGGUGGGAGACAGUGUCAGGCGGGCAGUUUGACUGGGGCGGUCGCCUCCUAAAAGGUAACGGAGGCGCUCAAAGGUUCCCUCAGAAUGGUUGGAAAUCAUUCAUAGAGUGUAAAGGCAUAAGGGAGCUUGACUGCGAGACCUACAAGUCGAGCAGGGUCGAAAGACGGACUUAGUGAUCCGGUGGUUCCGCAUGGAAGGGCCAUCGCUCAACGGAUAAAAGCUACCCCGGGGAUAACAGGCUUAUCUCCCCCAAGAGUUCACAUCGACGGGGAGGUUUGGCACCUCGAUGUCGGCUCAUCGCAUCCUGGGGCUGUAGUCGGUCCCAAGGGUUGGGCUGUUCGCCCAUUAAAGCGGUACGCGAGCUGGGUUCAGAACGUCGUGAGACAGUUCGGUCCCUAUCCGUCGUGGGCGUAGGAAAUUUGAGAGGAGCUGUCCUUAGUACGAGAGGACCGGGAUGGACAUACCUCUGGUGUACCAGUUGUCGUGCCAACGGCAUAGCUGGGUAGCUAUGUGUGGACGGGAUAAGUGCUG
RNAcentral lists this ribosomal RNA (1822 nucleotides) under Staphylococcus aureus. Its description in RNAcentral is "partial 23S ribosomal RNA". It matches the Rfam family "Bacterial large subunit ribosomal RNA", at positions 950 to 2773 of the family's 2925-position model. The record is from RNAcentral. Lineage: Bacteria; Bacillati; Bacillota; Bacilli; Caryophanales; Staphylococcaceae.